AAGCAAUUAUGUAAUGAAGAACAACUCUUUGAAGGGUGACACAGAAGCAGAUCCUAGUGGGAGCAAACAAGAAAUACCAUCUCUUUAUUUCACCAGAAAGCGUCUAAGGCCGAUAUCUUUCCGAAAUUCACCGCAAGAUGGAAGAAUUCGGGAACAUGGAGAGAGGUUAGAAGCCAAUUAGAGUAGAAAAUGGAAAGGAAAGGAGGUAUUGGAAGAGGGGGUUUCUAACACUUGAAUCAGAAGUCGGGUUAUUAUGAAGUGGAUAUAUCGGAGAGAGGGCAAAAUGGUGGCAUUUGGGUUCUAGCAGAUAGGUCUUGGAAUCAGAGCAGACUCGUGGACAUUACUGAUCACUGUGUUACUAUUAAGGUGAAUAAGGGCUCUUGUAUUUGGAUGUGCAGUACGAUUUAUGCCCACCCACAAGCUCAUCGUCAUUCAGAUUUUUAGAACUACCUUACCAAGACAGCCGCGGGUAUUUCUUGUCCUUGGUUAAUCAUAGGUGACUUUAAUGAAGUGCUUGUAUCAUCUGAAGUAAAGAGAGGAGCUUUUCAUGCCAAUAGAUCUCAAGCCUUCGCAACGACCAUAGAUAAUUGUGGGCUUAUAGAUAUGGGAGCUAAAGGGAGAAGAUUUUCUUGGCACAGGAGAGUAAAAGGGGGCUUGGAGGUUCCAAAAAAGCUGGAUAAGGCUUUCAUCAAUAGAGAAUGGCGUUUGUUAUUUUCAGAGGCUUUCUAUGAGAUUUUUAGUAGAUUACAUUCCGAUCAUUCCUCUAUCAUUGUUAAGAGUCAACUAGAUGAAGCGAAUCAAAAAUCUAAAAAUCAUCCUUUUAGGUUCCAAGCUGCACGGACCACCUACCCCUUGUUCUGUGAGGUAGUUCAUAAGGCAUGGGUUUUGGCUCUUUGGAUGUUUCAAAAAGUCUUGUUGUUGUGGCAAAGGAUGCUCAGAAAUUCAAUUUGGAGGUUUUUGGUAAUAUUUGUGUUAAGAAAAGGGAGCUUGAAGGAUAAAUUAGCAAAGUUCAAUUUUUGUUGAAGAGUCUUGAUGAUCAGCAUUUCAAGGAUGAAGAAAAUAGGCUUCAAAAAGAGCUCAAUUCUAUUCUUCUAAGAGAAGAACUCUUUUGGUACCAAAAGUCUAGAGAGAAAUGAGUGAAGUUCGGAGACAGAAACAUGAGUUUUUUUUACCUCCAAACUCUUGUCAGAAGAAAAAGGAAUAAAAUUUAUAACCUUAUGUUAGAGAAUAGUACUUGGUCUAAUGAUGCUUAUUCUUUAAAGGAGGAAGCUAAUAAGUUCUUCCAGUGUCUCUAUUGUUUUCGGAAGAAUGUAAAGUUUAAUGUUCUGGAUGGUAUUCCCCUUCUGCAUCUUAGUCAAGAAGCUUGCGAGACUCUAACUAAACCGGUCUCCUUUGAGGAAGUAAGACAUGUUGUCAUGGAGAUGAAUGCCUUUAAGGCUCCAGGUCUAGAUGGGUUCCAAGCUUUGUUCUUUAAGGAAUAUUAGGAUGAGAUGUCUGGAGGAUUGUUUGUAGAGCCUUUUCGGGAGAAAUUUUGGAUGGUUCUAUUUUUGAGACUCUUAUUGUUCUCAUUUUGAGGGUUGAUAGCCUCAUUGCAAUGAAGGAUUUCAGGCCGAUCAGCAUAUACAAUGUGACUUAUAACAUUAUUACCAAGGUGUUGGUGACUUGUCUUCGUUCCUUUCUAAUAGAGGUGAUUGGUCCUCUAUUGGCAGGAUUUAUUUCGGGAAAAAGUACUAGUGAGAACAUCAUUAUUGUCUAAGAGAUCCUUAACUUUAUGCGAAAGACCAAAUCAAAGAGGGGGACUGUUGCAUUCAAAAUUGACCUUGAGAAGGCUUUUGAUAGGUUGGAUUGGAGAUUCCUUCAUCAUUCCCUUCAAAGUUUUGGCUUUCCUGGCAGUACAAAUAAAUUGAUCAUGAAUUGUAUCUGCUCCUCCUCGUUAUCGAUUUUAUGGAAUGAUGAAAGGUUGCAGAACUUUAAUAUGAAAAGAGAACUCUGACAAGGUGAUCCGUUAUCGCUUUAUUUGUUUGUAUUGUGUAUGGAGCAAUUGGCUUGUCUCAUCUCUCAUCUUGUGACUAAUGAAUCUUGGAGUCCAGUUGCUAUUUCCAAAGGAGGUCCUCGAAUUUUAUACUUGAUGUUUGCUGACAACCUUAUUCUUUUUCGUAAAGCAAUCAGAUCCCAAGUCGCAAUGGUAAUACAAACCCUUAAUCUGUUUACCAAAGUUUUAGGAUUGAAAGUUAAUCUGUCCAAGUUUAAGGCUUUUUGCUCUAAAGAAUAUUUUUCAAAGGAGAAAAGAGGCGUUGUCGGGGGUCUCUCAUAUUUAAUUUACUCAAAUUUUGGAAAAGUAUUUAGGUGUCAAUAUUGGCCAUGGGAGAACAACAAAGAGGAUAGCUUAGGAGGUAAUUGAAAAAGUUUAUGGCAGACUGGCUAAUUAGAAAGGACGUCUUCUCAACAAGGCAAGUAGACUUUGUUUGGUUAAAUCGGUUCUGUCCUCUAUACCAAUAUAUCAAAUACAGAUUUUUUAUCUUUCAACCUAUGCUUGUGAGAGAAUUGAUUCGAUGAUGAGACAAAUCUUUUAGAAGGGUCAGGCGGACAAGAAGGGCUUAGCUCUUGUAAAGUAGGACAAGGUUGUAACUCCUAAAAAAUUUGGAGGCUUGUGUGUCCGUGAUUCGCAGUGUGUUAACAUAGCUCUUCUCGAAAAGCUCGUUUGGUAACUUUUCCAUAGCAAAGACAAGCUUUGGACGGAACUCCUGACCAAGAAAUAUUUUUCUCCUUUCAAAGGUUGGAAAAAUACGAAUAGAGCAUCUCAGGUUUACAAGAGUGUUAUGAAGGCUUAUAAACACUUAAAAGAUGGUUUUGUGUGGUGUUGUGGGAACUUGGACCAAUCAUUAUGGUUUGAACCGUGGUCUCCUUUUGAUAAUUUGGCAGAUACCAUUUCUUAUGUUCAUAUAACUGAUCUCCAUCUUUCGAUUGGUGAUGUGAUACAUAAUAGAAGUUAGAAUUUCAGCAAGCUAUAUUCUUCCCUUCUAGAAAAUGUAGAACUCAUUUUAAAAAAUUUGCCCAUCCCUGGUCUUUGUCAUGACGUUUAUGGUUGGUUUUAGAAUCCUUCCUCCUCUGCCGAUUACACCACAAAUUAAGAAUACCAAUGGUUAGCUAAAAGAAAGUACCACUAGGAUGACAAUGAUAACUGGAAUUGGUUGUGGAAGAUGUUUAUUCCGGAGAAGAUUAGGUUGUUGUUGUGGCAAACUUUGCAUGAUGCCAUCCCUACUAAUGAGCUUCGGUGCACUCGAAACUUGGCCACAAGUAAUUGUCAUCAGCGCUGUGGAAAUCAUCAUUUACCUUGCAUUGUUUUUCGUAAUUGUGACAAAGUAAAUGCUAUUUGGCAUAGUCUUGGUCUAUCUUAUGUUGUUAAUUAUAGUACUGCAGAUUUUUUCUUUUGGCUCAAAUAGAGUUUAAAGGGUAGAGAAGGACUACUAGCGGCGAAAAUUUAGUGGAUUUAGAAGCAUAGAUAACAAGAUGUGUUCAAUCCUAGCGAACCUUGGUCUGACAUGAAAGUGACAAUGUUAAUUAGAAGUCUAAAUAUGAGUUGGUUUCU
Long non-coding RNA from Arachis ipaensis, 3589 nucleotides. RefSeq lists it as uncharacterized. NCBI's taxonomy places the organism in Eukaryota, Viridiplantae, Streptophyta, Magnoliopsida, Fabales, Fabaceae. The record is from RefSeq and is a predicted model, not a curated record.